This 517-nucleotide ribosomal RNA is filed under the name uncultured Hanseniaspora. RNAcentral describes it as "eukaryotic LSU rRNA". It matches the Rfam family "Eukaryotic large subunit ribosomal RNA", at positions 62 to 585 of the family's 3401-position model. The record is from RNAcentral. Lineage: Eukaryota; Fungi; Ascomycota; Saccharomycetes; Saccharomycodales; Saccharomycodaceae.
AAACCAACCGGGAUUGCCUCAGUAACGGCGAGUGAAGCGGCAAAAGCUCAAAUUUGAAAUCUGGCACUUUCAGUGUCCGAGUUGUAAUUUGUAGAAGUAGUUUUGGGACUGGUCCUUAUCUAUGUUUCUUGGAACAGGACGUCAUAGAGGGUGAGAACCCCGUAUGAUGAGGCCCCCAGUCCUUUGUAAAACGCUUUCGAAGAGUCGAGUUGUUUGGGAAUGCAGCUCUAAGUGGGUGGUAAAUUCCAUCUAAAGCUAAAUAUUGGCGAGAGACCGAUAGCGAACAAGUACAGUGAUGGAAAGAUGAAAAGAACUUUGAAAAGAGAGUGAAAAAGUACGUGAAAUUGUUGAAAGGGAAGGGCAUUUGAUCAGACAUGGUGUUUGCGCCCUUUGCUCCUUGUGGGCGGAGGAUACGCAGCUCACUGGGCCAACAUCAGUUUUGGGAGCAGGAUAAAUCUGUAGGAACGUAGCUUUCUUCGGGAAGUGUUAUAGCCUACGGGAAUACUGCUACCUGGGA